Molecule: non-coding RNA, 302 nt
Organism: Arachis ipaensis
Lineage: Eukaryota; Viridiplantae; Streptophyta; Magnoliopsida; Fabales; Fabaceae
Source: RefSeq, a predicted model, not a curated record
ACAAAUUUUUGUAGAACUUGCUAAGACCAUGGAAGGAUUUGCUGCAGACUUUGGACUUUAUGGCAAUUCGACAUCUGGUUUUGCUUCAUCCCAAUUGGAUUGGUUGUUUCUCUCCAGCGCACACGUCAACAACAAUGCUCCUUUAAUUUGAUUGGAUCCAAAAGAUAAAAGUAAGACCGUGGGAUUGGAAGCUGAGUCAAAAGCAGUAGCUCAAGAUUGUGGGAAAGGUUGCAACAAUUGCAUGCCCAUGCAAAUCUAGAUACAAGGACUAAAGGAAGAAAUGAAGCGACACAGUCAAAAGA